CGCUAUCACUCCUACGGGGAGCGAGCAGUAGGGAAUCUUCCACAAUGGGCGCAAGCCUGAUGGAGCAACACCGCGUGAGUGAAGAAGGGUUUCGGCGUCGUAAAGCUCUGUUGUUAAAGAAGAACACGUAUGAGAGUAACUGUUCAUACGUUGACGGUAUUUAACCAGAAAGUCACGGCUAACUACGUGCCAGCAGCCGCGGUAAUACGUAGGUGGCAAGCGUUAUCCGGAUUUAUUGGGCGUAAAGAGAGUGCAGGCGGUUUUCUAAGUCUGAUGUGAAAGCCUUCGGCUUAACCGGAGAAGUGCAUCGGAAACUGGAUAACUUGAGUGCAGAAGAGGGUAGUGGAACUCCAUGUGUAGCGGUGGAAUGCGUAGAUAUAUGGAAGAACACCAGUGGCGAAGGCGGCUACCUGGUCUGCAACUGACGCUGAGACUCGAAAGCAUGGGUAGCGAACAGGAUUAGAUACCCUGGUAG
RNAcentral lists this ribosomal RNA (475 nucleotides) under uncultured bacterium. Its description in RNAcentral is "bacterial SSU rRNA". It matches the Rfam family "Bacterial small subunit ribosomal RNA", at positions 328 to 793 of the family's 1533-position model. The record is from RNAcentral.